This 1271-nucleotide long non-coding RNA is filed under the name Nicotiana tabacum (common tobacco). RNAcentral describes it as "long non-coding RNA (NTAB_LNC007138)". Lineage: Eukaryota; Viridiplantae; Streptophyta; Magnoliopsida; Solanales; Solanaceae. The record is from RNAcentral.
CACAAAAUGGAGAUGUUUUAUAUCUACUAAGUAACAGGUGAGGCUUCAGCAAAGAAUUCAUACGAGAUUAUCACGUAAUAGCAACAUGAUUUGCAAUUCUAAGGGAGCCCGGUACAAUCUUUCUUAAGAAUAUCAUACGGAUUUUUUCUUACUUCGAUCCGCCGUUACGUAUUUUUCGCAAAAGACGUGUGUUAGAGGGGUUGUCAAGAGAAUCGGCUCGGGUAUGUUAAGGCUAUCACUUCUUUCCUUUUGGCAUGAUCUAUAUGAUACAAAUGAAACGAGCAAAUGCACAACUUUCAUAAAUGACUCUAUUCAUAGAAGUGCUAGGGGUGUCUAUGUUUUUGAUUCCCCAUGUGUCUUAUUAUUAUAUCUUCUGUUCACGGGUCUUAGAAAAAUACGUAGUUGAUAAAGUUUAUCCGAAAGGCAUAUUGAUCUUAUGACAUUCCGAGAAAUCUUAUUAACACACUUUUUAUGCAUUUACACAUGUACAUUGACCCAUGAUCAGAUGACGUUAUAUACACUUAUAUUAUAUGUAUAAGAGAUAUGGGAAAAGGUUACGACGUUAUAUACGCACCACCACCUGAUCAACUGGUAUACGUUAAUGAUUUGCCACAGUGGCCGAGAUGAUAUGAUGGGAUGCCCUCAGAGGAUUGAUGAUGUUAUAUACUCAUAUACCUAUGUAUGAUAUAACAUUUAUAUGCAUAUGCAUGACAUUAUAAAAAUUAAAUGAUUCACAGAGCUAUUCAGACUUGAAUGUCGAGACUUUUACUCCAUGUUUCUCUCAUGUCUAUUAUUUACUAAUUUUCAUUCCUUACAUACUCCAUACAUUAUUUGUACUGAUGUCCCUUUUGCCUGGGGAUGCUGCAUUUCAUGCCCGCAGGUCCCGAUAGACAGGUUGAGAGUCCUCUUAGUAGGCUAUCAGCUCAGCGGAAGGUGUUGGUGUGCUCCAUUUACUUCAAAGUUGCUUAUUUGGUUAGUAUGAUUAGUACAUGUAUUGAUUGGUAAGGUGGGGCCCUGUCUCGACCUUUUUGAUAUUAUAUACUCUUAAAGGCUUGUUGACAUAUGUCAUGUAUACGACUACUUGUAUGGCCUUGUCGGCCUAUGUUUUGAGUAUAUAAUGGAUCAUGCCGGCCUUAUAGGCUCGUAUGUCAUAUGUAUAAGUCGGUAUAUCAUGUUGGGUCAUCCUAUGUCAAGUAUUCCCUCAUGCUUUAGUCUAGUUAUCUCAUGACAGCCUUUUCGGCUAAUUUACCUAUGAUAGUAUGACACGUAAG